CCUACGGGAGGCAGCAGUGGGGAAUAUUGCACAAUGGGGGAAACCCUGAUGCAGCGACGCCGCGUGAGCGAGGAAGUAUUUCGGUAUGUAAAGCUCUAUCAGCAGGGACGAAAAAAGACGGUACCUGACUAAGAAGCCCCGGAUAACUACGUGCCAGCAGCCGCGGUAAUACGUAGGGGGCAAGCGUUAUCCGGAUUUACUGGGUGUAAAGGGAGCGUAGACGGCAAGGCAAGCCAGAAGUGAAAGGGCCGGGCUCAACCCUGUACCUGCUUUUGGAACUGUGGUGCUAGAGUGCAGGAGAGGUAAGUGGAAUUCCUAGUGUAGCGGUGAAAUGCGUAGAUAUUAGGAAGAACACCAGUGGCGAAGGCGGCUUACUGGACUGUAACUGACGUUGAGGCUCGAAAGCGUGGGGAUCAAACAGGAUUAGAUACCCCGGUAGUC
This 441-nucleotide ribosomal RNA is filed under the name uncultured bacterium. RNAcentral's name for it is "partial 16S ribosomal RNA". It matches the Rfam family "Bacterial small subunit ribosomal RNA", at positions 338 to 795 of the family's 1533-position model. The record is from RNAcentral.